AUCCUUUUGUAGUUCAUAAGCAUGAUGAUUCAGGGUUCACGCUGUUGUGUGACUUUUGCCUCCCUCAAACCUUGUUGUGACAUUGGCACUUUACCUGUCUGACA
Molecule: small nucleolar RNA, 104 nt
Organism: Zalophus californianus (California sea lion)
Lineage: Eukaryota; Metazoa; Chordata; Mammalia; Carnivora; Otariidae
Source: Ensembl